This is a long non-coding RNA of Erinaceus europaeus (western European hedgehog), 1972 nucleotides long. RefSeq lists it as uncharacterized. The transcript is spliced from 5 exons. The record is from RefSeq and is a predicted model, not a curated record. NCBI's taxonomy places the organism in Eukaryota, Metazoa, Chordata, Mammalia, Eulipotyphla, Erinaceidae.
GGGUGGGGGGCGGGGGGUGGGCUGGGAGGGCCCCGGGGAAACUGGGGAAGCGGGGUACUGGGGCAACCAGGGGAAGAUGGGGCACUGGGGUUAGGGAAGCUUGCUUACCCAAGGGUCACCUUGGAUCUCUGGAGCCUGGCAGGACGGCGGCGAGCGGGGACCCCAGUGGGCCCGGACGGCAGUGGCCCCGGCCCUCGGGGUCCGGCGGGAGGGUCAGCCAGGCAUUCAUCCCGGUUUUUUCUGGUUUCAGGACGUGGCGGCUGGUGACAGGGGAGGAGACGAGGGGCUUUGGUCAGCCCGGCGGCGGCAGCGGGCAGCGAGCAGGAGGUCGCUCUGCCCGGUGAGUCCUCUCUGGCCGGGCCCCGCUUCAUCGCGUCCUGGGGAAGCUGGACGCAGGGGCCCGGCGGGAAGGGGGCCGCCCGGCAGAGUGGCGGGGCGGGGGACAGCCCGGCGUGGAGACACCGUCUCGGGGGGAGCCGAGACCGGCGGGCGGGACACGAGGGGACGCAGCGGGAGGUGACAGCAGGGCUGCCCGCAUGAGAGGUGGCAGGCGGCCACAGGAUGGGCCGUCCGUCGGGAUCACGGCCGAGGCAGGGACUUAGGGUGCAGAGGGGUCCCCGGCCGCCACACGCACCCACCGAAUUCACAAGUAGAAGGUUCCGGAGGGCCCGGGCCUGUGUGGCCCGGGCGUCGAAGGCUGGAGAGCGGGAAGAUGGCGCAGUGCAGAGGGGGGGUCAGCAGGGGCAGCCGCCAGAGAUGCCGCAGCAAGGAGGCUGCGAGGGCCAAGCUGCCCACAGGCACUGCGGCCCAGGGCUGGGCACCUUACCCGGAGCACUGGUGCCCGGGCUGCCUUCAACGCCCAGCCCUGGGGUGGGGCCGACAUAGCACAGACAGCGCCAGGGGAGCCAAGGGCACAGGCGAGGCCAGGUCAGGCGAGGCAGGCGGGGUGGCGUGAGUGGGAACUCGAGGAGGAGGUGUCGCAGGCAGGGUUACUAAGAGCAGCAGGGCAAGACGGGCACUGCGCUCCGGAGCCCGGGCCAGGCGGGCCCCCGCGAGGACGGAGUGGGUAUCGGUGUCCCCACACGUGAGCUGGAGACGAGGCCGGUGUCCAGCAGGGUGACCAGCCACAGACUCGGAAGGCCAGACACGGGCGUGAGCUGAGGGACAUGACAUGGUCCGGUGUGACGGCGAGGACCUGGCGGGGAUGGCCUUCCUGAACAUUCUAGAAUGGUGGCCGGGGCGCUGGCUAGCCAGCAGGUCUCUUUCAUUACUUCCCUGAAGGAGCCAACACACUUCUAUUCUCAGACCCUCCAGAAUCCACAGACGACAAGAAAUGGUGCUCCCCAGCUCAUGCCUGGGCCUUGGAACCCGGACUUGUUCAAGUCCCAUAGCUCUGACCAGUGACAUGCUGCACUCACAGACACCCCCUCAGGACGGCUCUGGAAGGUGGAGCCGAAGGAAGAGACCCCAAGACAUCCCCCCCGGAAGUGACACCCAUCAAAUGGCCACCUGCCUGCCUGGGCCACACCAUUGCCCCACCGCCUCCUCCUCCUCCUCCUCCUCCUCCUCCUCUUUCUCCUUUCCUUCUCUCUCUCUCUCUCUUCUUUUUCUUCUUCUCUCUCUCCGUGGCCCAAGCGCCCCGGCCCCCCCGGACUCCGUGUCCCUCUCCCCACUGAAUUUGCACUAAGUCGAUUGCACUGGUUGGGGUUCGGGGAGCGGCCCGGGGCGUCGUCCGGCCCGUGUGCGUGUGUGUGAGUGUCCGCUGGGCCCAGCACCCACCCGGCUUCCACCCCGGGGUGCCUGGGGCGGCCGUGUGAGCGUGAGAGUGUGUGGGGCCCCGCCUCUCGGAGUCUGGCCUGGAGGCUCCUGACACCUAGAGCAAAUCUUCAAACAUUCCACUGUCCUUGCCUGUGCCCCUCCCCCCGGGGCUCCCCACGAGCCCCCCACAUCACAAUAAAUAUUAUCACAGCAA